This 497-nucleotide ribosomal RNA is filed under the name uncultured bacterium. RNAcentral's name for it is "partial 16S ribosomal RNA". It matches the Rfam family "Bacterial small subunit ribosomal RNA", at positions 28 to 507 of the family's 1533-position model. The record is from RNAcentral.
GGUGAACGCUGGCGGCGUGCCUAAUACAUGCAAGUCGAGCGAACGGAUGAGAAGCUUGCUUCUCUGAUGUUAGCGGCGGACGGGUGAGUAACACGUGGAUAACCUACCUAUAAGACUGGGAUAACUUCGGGAAACCGGAGCUAAUACCGGAUAACAUUUUGAACCGCAUGGUUCAAAAGUGAAAGACGGUCUUGCUGUCACUUAUAGAUGGACCCGCGCCGCAUUAGCUAGUUGGUAAGGUAACGGCUUACCAAGGCAACGAUGCAUAGCCGACCUGAGAGGGUGAUCGGCCACACUGGAACUGAGACACGGUCCAGACUCCUACGGGAGGCAGCAGUAGGGAAUCUUCCGCAAUGGGCGAAAGCCUGACGGAGCAACGCCGCGUGAGUGAUGAAGGUUUUCGGCUCGUAAAACUCUGUUAUUAGGGAAGAACAUAUGUGUAAGUAACUGUGCACAUCUUGACGGUACCUAAUCAGAAAGCCACGGCUAACUACGUG